AGCCCUGAGGUGUUGCACAUAUUAGAUUGCAAAUCUUAAGUUGCAGAGUGAGAUCUGCCGGGGCUU
This 66-nucleotide transfer RNA is filed under the name Sicydium salvini. Its description in RNAcentral is "tRNA-Cys". The record is from RNAcentral. Lineage: Eukaryota; Metazoa; Chordata; Actinopteri; Gobiiformes; Gobiidae.